AGACAGCAGGUCGGUGCCCUAAAAGCAGGUAUCCGCUAAAGAGUGUGUUAAACUCACUGCCGAAUACUAGGGCCCCGAAAAUGAAUGGCGCAUAUAGUACUACCGAUCUCAGACAUCAGUUCUAUUGAACUGAGAGUAGGGGGAUGUGGACAUUUUUGUGAAGGUGCAAUGUGAGUUGGACUGGAAGAAUGUCUAUUACAGAUCCUAAUUGAAGUAGCGAUUAUCCAGGCUUGUAUCCUGGGGGCUGAUGAGGAGUAGGGUUUCUGGACAACUUAAACAGAUCCAGAGUUAGUCGAUCCUAAUCUCAAUAAUGGGAGAAAGGGAGUACAGUUGAUAUUCUGUAACUGACAACAGUUCGCGGCAACGCAUACUAUUUUUCUCCGCCAAUCUUAUACCGUUGGUAGGGAUCUCUUUCCUACAUGACAGUACUAAUACCCAGGGAAACUGGUCAUCAGGCGAACUGCGGCGUUCUGCUGGCAAAACAUAGCUUCGGUUAUGUCAAUGGCUAUUGGAUUGGUCCAUGAAGCGAAAAAUAGUUUACUGUGUCACUCGUACCGAUAACCGCAUCAGGUCUUCUAGGUAAGUAGCCUAUGGCCAUUGAGGCAUGAUAGUUCAGGGAAUUCGGCCAAUUAGAGCUGUAACUUCGGGAUAAAGCUUGGCUCUGAUGAAAAUCAGAACCGAUUGUUACGCGGAGAGCCCAACUGUUUAAUAAAAACGUAGUGUCGCGCUGUGGUAGUAUAGCCAGUGAACGCGACAUGAAUCCUGCUCAGUGCUGUGUCUGUUAAUAUGGUUCAAGCCAACGAAGCACCGGUAAAUAGCUGGGGUAACUAUGACUCUUAUCAAAGUAGCGAAAUACCUCGUCACUUAAUUAGUGACCUGCAUGAACGGAGCUAUGAGGUUCUCACUGUCCCAAACUGUCUCUCAGCGAACCAACUGUAGUGGGAACGGUCACUAGAUAUCCAGCGGGGAAAGAAGACCCUGUAGAGCUUCACUUUGGUCUAGUCUUGUAUAGUUCCUGCGGGGGUGUAGACUAGGUGGGAGAGCAAUCGAU
Molecule: non-coding RNA, 1051 nt
Filed under: Trichomonas vaginalis G3
Lineage: Eukaryota; Parabasalia; Trichomonadida; Trichomonadidae
Description: Eukaryotic large subunit ribosomal RNA
Rfam family: Eukaryotic large subunit ribosomal RNA
Source: Rfam by way of RNAcentral